This 110-nucleotide non-coding RNA is filed under the name unclassified sequences. RNAcentral's name for it is "c-di-GMP sequence". It matches the Rfam family "c-di-GMP-II-GCG riboswitch aptamer". The record is from Rfam by way of RNAcentral.
UCACCGCCGGGAAGCGAUGAUCCUCGAGGGGACCAGACGGUCGCCACGAUGAGGCGUUGGCCUCAUCAGCCCGUCGAGGGGAGCUAGUGGCGAGCCCGACCCGGGAGUGC